AGUGGGAUAGCUGGUUCAAAUGGUGGUUCCAAAAAUACAAGUUUUUAAAAGGAAUCUCCAUAUUGUUUUCCAGAUUGCUUGCACCAAUUUGUAGUUCCACCAGCAAU
This 107-nucleotide microRNA precursor is filed under the name Marmota monax (woodchuck). Lineage: Eukaryota; Metazoa; Chordata; Mammalia; Rodentia; Sciuridae. The record is from RNAcentral.